Molecule: long non-coding RNA, 497 nt
Organism: Dreissena polymorpha
Lineage: Eukaryota; Metazoa; Mollusca; Bivalvia; Myida; Dreissenidae
Exons: 3
Source: RefSeq, a predicted model, not a curated record
AAAUGAGCGUGCAGUGGGUGUCCACUAUCUGUCGUGAAAAGCAUUGACAUUGUUCGCACAUACCAGAAACCCGAAAAACCUCGCCUGCAAAAAUGAAGGUCGCUAUCGUUCUCGCUUUGCUGUGCGCCGUUGCUUUGGCAGAGGAGCCAUGCCUGUGCCCUAAGAUAAUCAGCCCAGUGUGCGGACAACCCCUCGGAGAGGCAGUUGCCUGGUAUGACAACGCUUGCCUGGCAACAUGCGCCAAAGCGGUUGUCGUUGAAGACAGUCACUGCGGCCAUCUGGAGAAACCUGGACAUGGAAUACCCCUUUUCUAGACUGACCACCUCCUACUUCACCACAAUGCGGACAACACUAUAUACAAUUCUAUGAUGGUUUUUCCACUCUGUCUUUUCAUAAACAAUGUAUCGUUAUUAACACAAAUUGAUUUUUUAUUAUAAAUAACAUCCUGCUAAGUUAACUUUAUUUUGGCUCGUAUAAUAAAUACUUUUUUCAUUUGA